Erinaceus europaeus (western European hedgehog) is the source of this 107-nucleotide small nuclear RNA. NCBI's taxonomy places the organism in Eukaryota, Metazoa, Chordata, Mammalia, Eulipotyphla, Erinaceidae. The record is from Ensembl.
GUGCUCACUUUGGCAGCACAUAUACUAAAAUUGGAACGAUACAGAGAAUAUUAGCAUGGCCCAUGCACAAGGAUGACACGCAAAUUUGUGAAGCAUUCCAUAUAUAU